Molecule: ribosomal RNA, 321 nt
Filed under: uncultured Pseudomonadota bacterium
Lineage: Bacteria; Pseudomonadati; Pseudomonadota
Description: bacterial SSU rRNA
Rfam family: Bacterial small subunit ribosomal RNA
Source: RNAcentral
AACGAACGCUGGCGGCGUGCUUAACACAUGCAAGUCGAACGGCAGCACGGGGGCAACCCUGGUGGCGAGUGGCGAACGGGUGAGUAACACAUCGGAACGCGUCCUGUAAUGGGGGAUAACCUGGCGAAAGCCAGGCUAAUACCGCAUACGUCCUGAGGGAGAAAGCGGGGGAUUGGAAACGACCUCGCGUUAUAGGAGUGGCCGAUGUCGGAUUAGCUAGUUGGUGGGUAAAGCCUACCAAGGCGACGAUCCGUAGCUGGUCUGAGAGGACGACCAGCCACACUGGGACUGAGACACGGCCCAGACACCUACGGGUGGCUG